UUGGAGGGCAAGUCUGGUGCCAGCAGCCGCGGUAAUUCCAGCUCCAAUAGCGUAUAUUAAAGUUGCUGCAGUUAAAAAGCUCGUAGUUGAAUUUCGGGACCAUCAUGUCGGUCGUGCCUCGGUACGUACUGGUAUUGUUGGUUUCUCCCUUCUGACGAACCAUGAUGUCAUUUAUUUGGUGUUGUGGGGAAUCAGGACUGUUACUUUGAAAAAAUUAGAGUGUUUAAAGCAGGCUCACGCUUGAAUACAUUAGCAUGGAAUAAUGAAAUAGGACGUUUGAUUCUAUUUUGUUGGUUUCUAGGAUCGACGUAAUGAUUAAUAGGGAUAGUUGGGGGCAUCAGUAUUCAAUUGUCAGAGGUGAAAUUCUUGGAUUUAUUGAAGACUAACUACUGCGAAAGCAUUUGCCAAGGAUGUUUUCAUUAAUCAAGAACGAAAGUUAGGGGAUCGAAGACGAUCAGAUACCGUCGUAGUCUUAACCAUAAACUAUGCCGACUAGGGAUCGGAUGAUGUUAAUUUUUUAAUGACUCAUUCGGCGCCUUACGGGAAAC
Molecule: ribosomal RNA, 548 nt
Filed under: uncultured Glomeromycotina
Lineage: Eukaryota; Fungi; Glomeromycota
Description: SSU rRNA
Rfam family: Eukaryotic small subunit ribosomal RNA
Source: RNAcentral